UGGCAGAACACUGAUAAAAUAUGACACUUGAAAUAUUACAGUAUAUACAUAUGCUCUUCCGAAAUUCUUCAGAGAUACUCUUCCAUCAGCAUUUUUCUGGCAUUCUCACCAUUGAUUUCACUAGCAUAUUUCUAGUGGCUUUCAUCUCGGUAUAGGGGAAAUGGUUUUGUUCCUCUUCUGUUGUAGCAUGCACCUUCGAUGGCCAUAAGAUAAAGGAGUACAGCUCCCAGGGACCCACCAGAAUGGACAGGAUCUGAUGGACAGGACCCACCAGAAUGGACAGGAUAUUGAACCCUUAAUCCCACAGUUUUCAUGAGAGUAGUAGCUGGCUUCAGUCUACAUGUGGUUGUCUGCACAUUUUUUUUACUUGUUCUGGCAUGUGGCAAUUCCCUGUAGCAGGAAAGCUGGGGUAGAGAAUGCUUUGCUCAAGAAGGGUUUUUAGGGUCCUCCGAGUGUCUGUGUAUCCCAUUGUAUUACCAUUAAAGUCAAUAGGAGAUUAGUUCUGA
Molecule: long non-coding RNA, 506 nt
Organism: Mauremys reevesii (Reeves's turtle)
Lineage: Eukaryota; Metazoa; Chordata; Testudines; Geoemydidae
Exons: 2
Source: RefSeq, a predicted model, not a curated record